RNAcentral lists this ribosomal RNA (563 nucleotides) under uncultured bacterium. RNAcentral describes it as "bacterial SSU rRNA". It matches the Rfam family "Bacterial small subunit ribosomal RNA", at positions 338 to 916 of the family's 1533-position model. The record is from RNAcentral.
CCUACGGGAGGCAGCAGUGAGGAAUAUUGCACAAUGGGGGCAACCCUGAUGCAGCGACGCCGCGUGCGGGAGGAAGGCCUUCGGGUCGUAAACCGCUUUUCUGGGGGACGAGCAAGGACGGUACCCCAGGAAUAAGUCCCGGCUAACUACGUGCCAGCAGCCGCGGUAAGACGUAGGGGGCGAGCGUUAUCCGGAAUUAUUGGGCGUAAAGCGCGUGUAGGUGGUCGUGUAAGUCAGAUGUGAAAGUCUUCUGCUUAACAGAAGAAGGGCAUUUGAAACUGCUCGACUAGAGUACGGGAGAGGAGAGUGGAAUUCCCGGUGUAGAGGUGAAAUUCGUAGAUAUCGGGAGGAACACCAGUGGCGAAGGCGGCUCUCUGGGCUCUGCCUGACGCUGAGGCGCGAAAGCGUGGGGAGCGAACCGGAUUAGAUACCCGGGUAGUCCACGCCGUAAACGUUGGGCACUAGGUGUGGGAGGUAUUGACCCCUUCUGUGCCGAAGCUAACGCAUUAAGUGCCCCGCCUGGGGAGUACGGCCGCAAGGCUAAAACUCAAAGGAAUUGACGG